RNAcentral lists this ribosomal RNA (294 nucleotides) under uncultured soil bacterium. RNAcentral's name for it is "partial 16S ribosomal RNA". It matches the Rfam family "Bacterial small subunit ribosomal RNA", at positions 26 to 346 of the family's 1533-position model. The record is from RNAcentral.
AGAGCGAACGCUGGCGGCAGGCCUAAUACAUGCAAGUCGAGCGGCCACUUCGGUGGCAGCGGCGGACGGGUGAGUAACGCGUGGGAAUGUGCCCUUUGGUACGGAACAACUGAGGGAAACUUCAGCUAAUACCGUAUGUGCCCGUUCGGGGGAAAGAUUUAUUGCCAUUGGAGCAGCCCGCGUUGGAUUAGCUAGUUGGUGGGUAAAGGCCCACCGAAGGCGACGAUCCAUAGCUGGUCUGAGAGGAUGAUCAGCCACACUGGGACUGAGACACGGCCCAGACUCCGUACGGGG